Culex pipiens pallens (northern house mosquito) is the source of this 3587-nucleotide long non-coding RNA. RefSeq lists it as uncharacterized. The record is from RefSeq and is a predicted model, not a curated record. Lineage: Eukaryota; Metazoa; Arthropoda; Insecta; Diptera; Culicidae. The transcript is spliced from 2 exons.
UUAUAAUAAAUAAAAUAGCAAAUUAAGUAGAUGAUUCUAUUCCAUUUAUAUUAAAAAUCUUAAAAUUUAUUGCAUGACAGAUAAUUCCAAACAUUCAUUUCUGCCAAUUGGAGCGUGUUCAGGAAGCCCAAAUCUAUCAUACCUUGACGAAAUUGAAGCGUUCACUGACAUAAACUUCGAAAAUGUCGAGUAGUGUUUUCAGAAAAAAAUGGUUGGAUAAAAAAUUACUUAAAUUUUCAGAGAUGACAAUAUGAAUAUCAAACAACGGAAAAUUAUGAAUGUAUUCUGCCUUUUUUUUUCCUUUUUUGUGAUAAUGUAAAAAGCCAAAGCCUUGCAAAAUUGUAGUCCUUCAUUCGACUUUUUUAUGAAAUUUUUUUGCCGUUUGACACCCAACAUGUAAAUUAAGAAAAUUUGAGCUUUUUGAAGGAAAUAAACAAGCUCGACAAAAAAAAUUAAGACAACGAAUUCGAUUGUCCGGAAUGAAAUUUUGCCAAGGCCUCCGAAUAAUCGAGUCUGGGCUGUAUUUAAAACCACAAACUUCAAUGUCGUAAAAACCUAUUCCAUAUUUUGUUCCAUUUCGUGUUUGACAUCAAUUUGGCAAAAAAAACAAAUUUGAGAAAUUUUAGAAUUAUUGUAUGCAAAUUAUAAAAAAAAACAUUUGAAAAAUGCUACCGUUUAUGAACUAUCGGUUCCAGCACCAAAAACUCAAGUGUUGCGAAAAUUCAAUCUGUAUUUCAUCUCGUUUGGGCGCCCAUUCGCCUAUAAAAAAAAUACAUGGUGUUUAGUGGAAAUCAUGAUAGUUUGGUGGAAAGAUAUUAUUUUUUUGGCGUUUGACAACCCGGGCAAACGGUAAUAAAAAAAAUUCAUGCCAUUUUAAUAACAAAUACUGUUAAAAUAACAAAAAGUGUUAUGUAAUCUUCUUGAAAAAUCCAUUUUUGAAUAAGGAUUUAAUAACAGUUUCUGUUAUCAUAACAAAAUUUGUCAUUGGUCUGAUAUUGGUUGAACGCCAAAACAACUCGAGAAUAACAUGUUUUGUUAUGGAAGAACAACUCCAACUGUUAUUGGGAUGAUCGGAUAAGUUGUUAUAAUAACAAAAAAUAAUAACAAAGAUUUGUUCGUAGAAUCACUAAAAAUGUUAUUAGUCUGUUAUUACAAUAACAAUCCAAUAACAAACAAAUCAUAACGACGAAUAACGAAUUUUGUUAUAAAUAACAUAAAAUGUUAUUUGCUUAGUAUUCUCAAAUAUCAAAAAAAAAAUUAUUCCCAGGUUAUUUCCGUUUGCUCGUGACCCAUCAUGACAAAAAAAAUAACUACAAACGAGUAUAAGUCGAACCAACACAUAUAUGCGCCAGCAUUCUAGCGCCAGUAUUCGAAGCUCAACUUGUCUUGUUGACUUGGCGACGAAGCGUCGAAAAUCAAUGCAGUUUGAUUUUUUGGCGAUUUUUCCGAUUAAUAUUCAUGCUGUAUCGUCGUAUUUACGACGAUGACAAUGACGUCCAGCGAUAAAGUAAAACCUAUACCUUUCUUUAGUAAGAAAGUCAAAAAUAUAUAUAUUGUGAUAAAUCAUUCAAAAUUAUGUGUCAAUCGAUACCCAGACUGAUGAUAUUAAAGUCAGUCUUCCCGAAACGCACGCACGCCGUACACGCCGCACAAGUUUUCAGUGCAGAUGAACUUCAAACACACCAGGCUACCAUGUUCGAGUUCUCCCCGUACGGCGCACUCAAGUUUACACGCGGUUUAAACACGGGGUGCACACCUCGGGAACAUCGCCGUGCGAGCGAAGAGCGUAUAAAGAGACGAAAAAAAUGACUGCUUCUCACUUUCUCUGUGGCAAACACUUUAGUGUGACUGCAGCGGAGAAUGAAACACCUCUUUACAGCAGAGGAAGCGUGAGGGAAAUAUUUUUGUCUCUUUUCUGCGUCGUCGGCCUGCACGGGGUUUGUACCCGAGGUGCAAGGUUCGGUUUAAACUUGAGGUUCGUGUUCGGGUACAGCCUGUACACGGAAGAGUUUAGGUUUGCUUGUACGCGUGCACACGCGGUGCUGGUGUUUGAUCGAGUACAGAAAACAGAGAACGCGGUUCAACGCGGUGCACAGGGAUCACUGAUUAAAGUAUAUAAAAAAUGUUUCUUUUUUAAACCAGUGCAGGAAAAAAAAUAUGGUACUGCUAUUGAUUUUAAUUAUAAUCAUCAUUAAAUAAUUCACUUCGAAUUCCAAGGAAAAAAUAAGAAAAACCUGUUCAAAAACUAUGGCACUCAAAAAAUUAAAUCAAAAUAUAACUAUUAUAAAUAUUUCUUGAAGCCCCACAAAUUGAAGUAGCAAUAUUUAUUUUUGAAUUUCAAUUCAAAUAAUUUAAUAGAUGCACCGAUUUUCCAGAGAAUUGCUUUUGAUUUUUUGUAAGAGAUUUUGUGUUGUUGUCGGGAGCAUUAUCGCUCCAAACAUGUGUUGGAUUUUGGCAAUCUUUAGUCGUUCCCCGAUUACAUUUUGUCUAGCUUGGUGACCGUCUGUGUUUAGUUUAGUUUAGUUUGUUUAUUAUUUCUAGCAGUGUAAGGUUUCCACCUUUUAAAAUUACUGCUUUCGAUGUUACAUUGGUUUUUUACAUAAAAUUUGAUAACCUAAAUGAAAAACUACAUUAAAAACUAAAAUUUCAAAACUAGGAUUUCACUAGACGGAUUAGUCCUCAGGCACGUGUCAUCUUCCUUGUAGUCGUCAUAGGUUGUAUUUCUCAGCGUCGUCCAGGGUUCGUCCGAGGGGAUAGGGGGUUUGCCCCUUUAUACGACCUCUUCCAGGGGCACUCGGGAGCCCGGGGGGUAUUCCCUAUUCCACUAUUCCUGUAACGUGUGGUUAGGGGGGCCCCAGGUCUCCCGAGCGCCUCAGUGGAUUCUCCAGUUUGCGUCGUGUCUUCCAGGCACCCCGGAGGAGCCGGGGGGUUGUCCCUAUUCCACUCUUCCUUUGGCUUGUGGUUAGGGGGGCCCCGGGACCUCCGGGCGCGACAGUGGUUUGACUUUUUGCGGUUUCCUCAGGCAAAGUUAAAGCUGGUUAAAAAAUUCAAGGCAGCCUCUCUUAAAGAUCACUUCCGAUGUCGAACAUUUUACUGCCACGGGUAAUGAAUUCCAGUAAGCCACACCUCUCACGAAAAGGGAAUUUGCGUAGGUCUGCGUGCUGUUUCUUGGAAUCACAAGGUUCUGCAGACGGCGACCUCGGCACGGGAUAAGCUUUUGAUACAGUACAGGUGGAAACUGGUCUGUGUGUUUUUGUGUGAGUGUUGCUUUUUGCAGUUUGCCUUUUUUUUUGUUUUAGAGUUUUUGUUUAGCUAUUUACAAGACAUUUCAUCGCAUCGCUUCGCUUGCACCACAAAUUUAAAUAACGAAAAAUGGAAAACUUAAAAAGUUUUCCUCACCAGUAGUUGCUUUCAGCUGGUUCGAUCGACGAAACGAUGGCUGGCUGGCUGGCAGCACUGGCUUGGAGCUUUUACAGGCGGUGUAACGAAGCCAACGCUAGACAGAGGGCGGCGGUUAGAACAAGGACUACGUACGUUUGCCGAUGGGUGGUUUUCCCGUGGUGCAGUGAGGAGCCUGUAAGAUAAAA